RNAcentral lists this ribosomal RNA (253 nucleotides) under uncultured bacterium. RNAcentral describes it as "partial 16S ribosomal RNA". It matches the Rfam family "Bacterial small subunit ribosomal RNA", at positions 524 to 776 of the family's 1533-position model. The record is from RNAcentral.
UACGAGGGGGGCGAGCGUUGUUCGGAAUUAUUGGGCGUAAAGGGCGCGUAGGCGGUGCGGUAAGUCACCUGUGAAAUCUCCGGGCUCAACUCGGAGCCUGCAGGCGAAACUGCCGUGCUAGAGGGUGGGAGAGGUGCGUGGAAUUCCCGGUGUAGCGGUGAAAUGCGUAGAUAUCGGGAGGAACAUCAGUGGCGAAAGCGGCUUCCUGGUCCAGUACCGACGUUCAGGCACGAAAGCGUGGGGAGCAAACAGG